AACACACAUGACUGUAAAUCGCUUUGGAUUAAAGCGUCUGCUAAAUGGCUUAUA
This is a non-coding RNA of Salmo salar (Atlantic salmon), 54 nucleotides long. The record is from Rfam. Lineage: Eukaryota; Metazoa; Chordata; Actinopteri; Salmoniformes; Salmonidae.